RNAcentral lists this ribosomal RNA (1096 nucleotides) under uncultured Alphaproteobacteria bacterium. RNAcentral's name for it is "bacterial SSU rRNA". It matches the Rfam family "Bacterial small subunit ribosomal RNA", at positions 55 to 1230 of the family's 1533-position model. The record is from RNAcentral. Lineage: Bacteria; Pseudomonadati; Pseudomonadota; Alphaproteobacteria.
AUGCAAGUCGAGCGGUCCUUCGGGACAGCGGCGAACGGGUUAGUAACGCGUGGGAACGUGCCCUUUAGUACGGAAUAGCCAUUGGAAACGAUGAUUAAUACCGUAUACGCCCCAAGGGGGAAAGAUUUAUCGCUAAAGGAUCGGCCCGCGUUAGAUUAGGUAGUUGGUAGGGUAAUGGCCUACCAAGCCGACGAUCUAUAGCUGGUUUGAGAGGAUGAUCAGCAACACUGGGACUGAGACACGGCCCAGACUUCUACGGAAGGCAGCAGUAGGGAAUCUUGGACAAUGGGCGAAAGCCUGAUCCAGCCAUGCCGCGUGAGUGAUGAAGGCCCUAGGGUUGUAAAGCUCUUUCGCCAGGGAAGAUAAUGACGGUACCUGGUAAAGAAACCCCGGCUAACUCCGUGCCAGCAGCCGCGGUAAUACGGAGGGGGUUAGCGUUGUUCGGAAUUACUGGGCGUAAAGCGCACGUAGGCGGAUUAAUAAGUCAGGGGUGAAAUCCCGAGGCUCAACCUCGGAACUGCCUUUGAUACUGUUAAUCUUGAGUUCGAGAGAGGUGAGUGGAAUUCCGAGUGUAGAGGUGAAAUUCGUAGAUAUUCGGAGGAACACCAGUGGCGAAGGCGGCUCACUGGCUCGAUACUGACGCUGAGGUGCGAAAGCGUGGGGAGCAAACAGGAUUAGAUGCCCUGGUAGUCCUAGCUGUAAACGAUGGAUACUAGACGUAGGAAUUGGAUUAACGAUUUCUGUGUCGUAGCUAACGCGUUAAGUAUCCCGCCUGGGGAGUACGGUCGCAAGACUAAAACUCAAAGGAAUUGACGGGACCCCGCACAAGCGGCGGAGCAUGCGGCUUAAUUCGAUGAUACCCGUAGAAUCUUACCUGGACUUGACAUAUAGGGAAAAGUUAUAGAAAUAUAUGUGCAUUAGCGCCUAUACAGGUGUGCAUGCUGUCGUCAGCUCGUGUCGUGAGAUGUGGGUAGUCCCGCACGAGCGCACCCUGUCUAUGUGCAGCAGUAUGUGGGACUCAUAGAACUGCGUGAUAUCGGAGAGUGGGACGACGUCAAGUCUUCUGUCCUAUGUUCAGGCUGCACGCAUGCUACAA